Molecule: ribosomal RNA, 467 nt
Filed under: uncultured bacterium
Lineage: Bacteria
Description: partial 16S ribosomal RNA
Rfam family: Bacterial small subunit ribosomal RNA
Source: RNAcentral
GACGAACGCUGGCGGCGUGCUUAACACAUGCAAGUCGAACGGAAAGGCCCUGCUUUUGUGGGGUGCUCGAGUGGCGAACGGGUGAGUAACACGUGAGUAACCUGCCCUUGACUUUGGGAUAACUUCAGGAAACUGGGGCUAAUACCGGAUAGGAGCUCCUGCUGCAUGGUGGGGGUUGGAAAGUUUCGGCGGUUGGGGAUGGACUCGCGGCUUAUCAGCUUGUUGGUGGGGUAGUGGCUUACCAAGGCUUUGACGGGUAGCCGGCCUGAGAGGGUGACCGGCCACAUUGGGACGGAGAUACGGCCCAGACUCCAACGGGAGGCAGCAGUGGGGAAUAUUGCACAAGGGGCGGAAGCCUGAUGCAGCAACGCCGCGUGCGGGAUGACGGCCUUCGGGUGGUAAACCGCUUUCGCCUGUGACGAAGCGUGAGUGACGGUAAUGGGUAAAGAAGCACCGGCUAACUACGG